UACAGGGGGGGCAAGCGUUGUUCGGAAUUACUGGGCGUAAAGGGCUCGUAGGUGGCCAACUAAGUCAGACGUGAAAUCCCUCAGCUUAACUGGGGAACUGCGUCUGAUACUGGAUGGCUUGAGUUUGGGAGAGGGAUGCGGAAUUCCAGGUGUAGCGGUGAAAUGCGUAGAUAUCUGGAGGAACACCGGUAGCGAAGGCGGCAUCCUGGACCAACACUGACACUGAGGAGCGAAAGCCAGGGGAGCAAACGGG
RNAcentral lists this ribosomal RNA (253 nucleotides) under uncultured bacterium. RNAcentral's name for it is "partial 16S ribosomal RNA". It matches the Rfam family "Bacterial small subunit ribosomal RNA", at positions 524 to 776 of the family's 1533-position model. The record is from RNAcentral.